GGGGCUCACAGCUCUCUCCUCACCCAGGGCAGAAAUCUCUGGGGAAGGUAGAACUGUGCUCUAGAAGAAGAUGAGACUGUUGGGUCUUCUCCUGUGCCUGGUGACAGCCCCCCAGGGUGUCCGCUCCGAGGUGCAGCUGCAGGAGUCGGGCCCAGGACUGGUGAAGCCCUCACAGACCCUCUCCCUCACCUGCACAGUCUCUGGUUACUCCAUCACCAGUGGUUACGUAUGGAGCUGGAUCCGCCAGUUCCCAGGGAGGGGGCUGGAGUGGAUUGGGUACAUAAGUUAUAGUGGAAGUGCUUACUACAGCCCGUCCCUCAAGAGCCGCACCUCCAUCUCCAGAGACACGUCCAAGAACCAGUUCUCCCUGCAGCUGACUUCCAUGACCACCGAGGAUACAGCUGUGUAUUACUGUGCCAGAGACACAACCCUGCUUGUGCUCCUGGGGAGACACCGAUGCAGUGAUCCCAUGGUUCAGACCUCGGGGCUCCUGGCUGUGAGAUCUGAGAAUGUGGGCCUAUGGACUGCAGGUAUCUACUCCCAGCUGCAGCUGGUGCAGUCUGGGGCUGUGGUGAGGAAGCCUGGGGCCUCAGUGGAGGUCUCGUUCAAGGCCUCUGGAUACAUGAUCACCAACUAA
Non-coding RNA from Phyllostomus hastatus (greater spear-nosed bat), 637 nucleotides. NCBI's taxonomy places the organism in Eukaryota, Metazoa, Chordata, Mammalia, Chiroptera, Phyllostomidae. The record is from the annotation of a RefSeq genome assembly.